AGUGCUUCAAAAUGGAAUCCUUGAGGACCUGCUCCAUGAUUUUUCCAGGGACUGAGGAUCCUGAACUCAAUCAUCUCAUGGUCAUUGAUGCCCAAGCUGCCAUCUACUGCUACAUUCCCUACCAAUUCUUCUUCCAGCUGAAUCUUUAAUGGGCUACUUCAUCUCUAGAAGCUGAACUACCUACCGCACUUCAGUGAAGACAUGAUCUAUGGGCACAGAGUGGGACUGCAAACAAAGUUCCAUGAAAGAUGGCAUAAUUAAUCCUAAUAUCUUGGUGUGCAAACUUUAAGCUGUACUAAAGAAUUUACACCAUCAGUGACCAUACCAGCCUGAUGAGUGUUCUCAGGAGUGGAGGUGGGAGAAAUGAAAGAUGCUUAUUUGCAAUCUUUGUAAUCCUUGGGGGAUAAACCAAAUAGGAAAACCAAAACUCUUUUGUUUAUCCUUGUGGGUAAUUCAAUUUCAUCUCAUUUGGAACAUGACAGAAAGAUGAAAACUAAAAUGGAAACAGCUUUUGAAUUAAAGGCAAUCUUUUCAAAUCAAUCAACAUUAAAGAAGAAAGGAAUUGGAACAAUAAGUGAAUGACAUGCGCUAUUGCUUGGAAACUUUUGAAAUCCUAGCUCUGUAAACAAAACGAAAAUAUUUUAUAUUUGUAUAUUGAUGGGACUAAUUUCAUCACUCAAAUUCCCUGAAACCAUACUAGAUAGGGUGAGUCCAGUCAUAUACUUAUACUGCUCCAUGACGUUUUUUGAAACAUAAUCCCAUCUUUCAACAUUAUGCUAAUCUCAAAACAGCUAAAUAUUUGCUUCCUUCAACACAGAAUAUCCAAUUUAUACAAUAUUUUAUAUUGCUUAUAAAAUAUACAAUAUAUAAGCAACCUACUCUGCCUUUAGUAGCUAGUAAGGUAUGAAGUAGUGCAAAGGAUAACUGCCGGUAGGUUUCCAGAAGUGUUCAAGAUGUACAGAGCCCAAUUUUCGAUUAGAAGGGAUAUAUAAAAGAUUUCUAGAUCUCAUAUUUGGAUCUUCAGAUGAGUCCACCUAUAUGCCUAUAUUCCACUUCGAGGGAUUCAGACAUCCUAUUAAGAAGCCUGUGUUGGAAGAGUUCUUUUAAAGCAACAACAACAACAAAAAACCUUAUGAACUACACAGUUUUUCACCAGGUGUCAUUAAAAAUGCCAAUAAACAGAAGCAUGAGUGAAGUUAAAUUUAAGUUCUUGCACACAAAAGUUUUCCCUCAGUUUCACACUUAGUUGCAUAAUAGAGUACAUUAAAAAUGGCUUUUAUUUGAAAUGCAUGGAGUGUUUUUUCCCUUCAUGAUUUUAUUUACUUCCACAUAUCCAAAUACACUUUAAUUAUGCAUCUGCAUAAUGUGUCCAAUUCCAGGAAGUGCAUAUAGUUAUAUUAGAGUGACAUUAAUGCCAUAAUGAUUCAGGAAUUAUGCAAGAGUCAAUCAUUUUGGGGGAGUGAUAUCUUUGAAUGUCUUUGAAUCAUUUGAAUGUCUGAUUUGAAUUGACUUGAUGAAGAAUAUCUUGCAUUCAAAAGUUUGGCUUACUUUAUUUCAACCAUGCAGUUGGUCCAUUAAAGAUGCCCCCCCACCUCCAC
Long non-coding RNA from Alligator mississippiensis (American alligator), 1598 nucleotides. RefSeq lists it as uncharacterized. The transcript is spliced from 3 exons. NCBI's taxonomy places the organism in Eukaryota, Metazoa, Chordata, Crocodylia, Alligatoridae. The record is from RefSeq and is a predicted model, not a curated record.